CACCGCCUCCCACGCGGGCGUGAGGAGAAGAAGGAGAGUGGUUGAAGAAAAGAAGAAGAAGAGGGAAAAGAAGAGAGGAGGAAGAAGAGAGGAAGAAGAGGGAGAAGAGAAGAAGAUGAAGAAGAAGAAGAAGAGGAGGUGGCUGCAGCGAGGGCUGCAGCGAGAAGCUGUGGGGCGUGGGGAGAAGAAGAGAGGAAGAAGAGGGAGAAGAGAAGAAGAAGAAGAAGAAGAAGAAGAGAGGAUGAUAGCUGCGGCAAGGCUGCAGCGAGGAGGUGUGUGGGGUUGGGGAGGAAAGGGGAAGAGGAGAAGAAAAGAAGGAGAAGAAGAGGGAAAAGAGAGGGAAGAGGGAGAGGAGCGAGAGGUGGCAGCAGCUAGGGCUGCAGCACCUCUGUUUCCUGCAGGUGGAAACAGAGGAGAGGUGGGGCGUUCGAAGAGGAGAAGAAGAAGAAGAAGGAAGAGAAGAGGAAGAGGAAGCAGGAGAAGAGGUUGUGAUACCUCUGUUUCCUGCAGAGGAAACAGAGGAGAGGGUGUGUGUGACGUCGGGGAGAAGAAGGGGAGGAAGGAGAAGAAGAGAAGAAGAAGAAAGGAAGGAGAGGAAGAAGAGAAGGGAAAGGAGGAGCUGCGGCUGCGGCGGUGGCAGCUGCAGCUGGAAGAGAAGGAGAGGAAGAGAUGGUGAGGAAGAAGAGAAGAAGUAGAAGCGGGUGAAGAGGCGGCACCUCUGUUUCCUGCAGGAGGAAACAGAGGAAAGGAGGUGCUGUUCGUCGGGGAGAAGAAGGGGGCUGCAGCUGCGGCGAUGGCAGCUGCAGCUGGAAGAGAAGAAGAAGAGGAAGAUGAGCAGGGGAGGAGGGAGAGGUUGCGGCCGUGGCUGCGGCCGCGACUGCAGCAGUUGCAGCGGGGAGAGAAGAAGAAGAAAGGAAGGAGAAGGAAGAGGAGAAGGGAAAGAGGUAGCUGCGGCUGCGGUUGUGGCAGCUGCAGCUGUGGCAGGGAAAGAGGAAGAGAAAAAGGAAAGGAAGAAGAAGAGAAAGGGAAGGAGAGGAAGAAGAGAGGAAGAGGAGAAGGGGCUGCGGCUGCGGCGAUGGCAGCUGCAGCUGUGGCUGGGAAAGAAGAGAAGGAAAGGAAGAAGAAGAGAAAGGGAAGGAGAGGAAGAAGAGAGGAAGAGGAGAAGGGGUGGCAGCUGCGGCAGUGGCAGCUGCAGCUGGAAGAGGAGGAGGAAAUAGAGCAGGGGAGGAAGAAGAGGCUGCGAGUGUGGUGGCUGCGGCCGUGGCUGCGACUCCGGCAGCGGCUGCGACGUUGGCUGCGGUAGCUGCGGCAGUGGUGGUGGCUGCAGUAGCUGCAGUAGCUGCUUUUGGGAAAGAGAAAGAGUACGAACGAGAGAAGGGAAGAAGGAAAUAGUGCAGUGGAAGGGGGCUGCGGUUGUGACCGCAGUUGCGAUUGUGGCAGCGGCGGCGGCUGUGGCAGCUGCGUUUGGGAAAGAAAAAGAAGGAAUGAGAGUAAGAGAGAGCAGGUGACUGUGCCUCGAUGUUCGACACGUGGUGUAGUUGCGAAGAAAGGAAGAAAACGGGAGCACAAAACGAAACAGAGAGAGGACACGGAGGAAAAGUAGAAGGAUUUGGGCUGGCACCUUCUUUGGAUCUUCGGAUCGAAAUCUUUGAAAGGUCAGCUUGUUACUCUUCGAGAUGUUUGAUUUGGGCUGAGGCAGUGGAUAGCUAUUCAGAAUGAUGGGCAAGUCUGGUUGGUUAUUACGAUAUUGUUGUAUAAGUAUGUUUUGUAUGUAAUGAAAUGUUGUCGAUGAACCGAAAUGGAUAUACUGUGUCAAAGUGUUAGGAGAUCUCUCUUAUUUGGAAUUUCUGAAUGUUAAGCCUAAUUUAUAAUGAUAUGAACUUGUGGUGGAUAGUUGGAGUUCUGAUUGUAUAAAUUAUUUAGCUUGUGGAUUUAUAAAUAUUGUUCAUGUUUGUCAAGUUGGCUUGGGUUGCCAUAAAUGUGAAUUAUUGAGUGAUGUGAUAUAUGAUUAUAAACUGCACAGGUUUUAUGGAUGUGAAUAUGAAUAGAAUGUUUUUCAGUGUCCUCAAACGUUAGUUUGGAUCCUGGAUUGGUCUGUGAUGAAAAAUUUUAAAAAUCAUGGAUAUUUUGAGGGGCGUGAUAGAGGUGGUAUCAGAGCAUUGUUUGAGGAUUACUGAAAUAUUUGAUAUGUUGACGUGCAAAAUAUAUUGAGGUCUAAUGAACUAUAGUGAUUGGUGGAAAUUUUCUUUGCUGCAUUUUAGGAAUCUGGGAUGAUGAGGACAUUUGGUCCUCCUAUAUCAUUUGUUUCUGAUUAAUUAAGGGGAAUGAAAGGAUUGAUUGGGGAUAUUGAAUCAGAGUGGCGCAGCAGAAGCAUGAUGAACCUAAUUUCAUUGGUGGUAGAAAAAUGGAUGAUGCAAAUGGAGAAGAUAUUUGAUAUACAAAAUUGUUCUGAUACUCGAAAGAUUUCUUUUGCCACGUUAUAUUGGAAGUAAAGACUUAUUAUUGACGGCAACAAUGAAAAGAAUUUCUGAAGAUCAAUGGCAAGAAUGACAAGAACAAGUUUACCAAUAAAAAUAUGAUUGGAAAUGAAUCAGUAAGUAACAACAAGAGAGUCAAGACAUUUGGAUUUGAAAUGGGAAGUCACCACAAAAGACUCAAUCAGGUGUGAAUUGCAAGUUAAAUUAUGAAACAAGUUUAUGUUUGUGCGUGACUAGAGCCUAUUUAGCUUAUGGAAAGUUUGAUCAUAAAAUAAAAGUUUGCCCUUUGAACAAGAAGAAAGAGUCACUGCCUCCUAAAUCAUCAGCCCAUGUCAGAGUGUAUGCUAUCACUGAAUAUGAUUCUAAGACUUCUAAAUUAGUGGUCGAAGGUAUUAUGUAUGUUUAUGAAAGAAUGCAAAUAUUUGUUUGAACAUGGGUUCUAUCUACGAUUUGAUUCGUAACAUAUUGCCUAUCACUUGGGUAUUCAACCUAGACCACUGUAUUAUGUGAUAUAUGUAAGUACAAUCAUUGGAGAUUCUUUGAUAACGAACUUGAAUCUGGUCCUCUUGUCUGAUUCUUAUUGGAGAACUUGAACUUUUGCUGAUUUAAUUCUCUUAGAGAUUUGGAGUUUUGAUAUUAUACUUGGUAUGGAUUGGCUAUCUUCCUAUCAUACCAGUAUGGAUUCGUAUAUAACAAAUGAUCACUUUUUGCAUAUUUGAUCAGCCGAUCUUUUAUUUUGAGAGUAUUGGACAUUAUUUAUCUCCUUGCCUAAUGUAUCCCAGGAUGACUUGCCUGGAUUACCUCUAAAUGUGAUUUUGCUUUUGAUUUGGUCCUUGGGACAAUCCCUAUAUCUAAGCCUCUCUGCAGAAUGAUAUCAUUUGAGUAAGUGGAAUUAGAAAAACAACUACAAGGAUUAUUAAAUGAGGAUUUUAUUUGGCUUAAUAUUUUAUCAUGGGGUGCUCUGGUGUUAGUUAAAAAGAUGGAUGGAACAUGGAGGCUUUGUAUUGAUUAUGGAUAGUUGAAUCAGGUGAUCAUAAAAAACGAGUAUUUUCUGAAGUAACGAUUUGCUUGAUUAAUUACAGGUGCGCAAGUAUUUUUGAAAGAUUGAUUGGAGGUCGGGUUUACCAUCUAUUGAGAAUCAAGAAGGAGAAUAUUUCGGUCACUCUUGGAAAAUUGUGUAAUUGUAUUGAAUUGAUGAAAUUAUUUAAGAGUAGGAGGAAAUAAAGAAAUCAUAAUCCUCAUCUUUUCAUCGAUUGAGCUAUGACCAAUUUAGAGGACUAAAUUUUCUUUUAAGGGGGGGGAGAGUGUAAUAUCCCCCACUUUUAAAAAUGUAUUAAUAAGGAUUUAUAUGUAAAUUGGGGGACCUAUAUGUAAAUAUAGAAAUUACAAGGACUAAACUACUAAGUUGCAAAAAAAAAAAAAAAAAAGGAAAAACCGAAAUUCGGUAUUAUCCCACCGCCUCCCACGCACUCUGUUUCUUUCCAGAAACAGAGAGAGCGGUGGGGCGUGAGGAGAAGAAGGAGAGUGGUUGAAGAAAAGAAGAAGAAGAGGGAAAAGAAGAGAGGAGGAAGAAGAGAGGAAGAAGAGGGAGAAGAGAAGAAGAUGAAGAAGAAGAAGAAGAGGAGGUGGCUGCAGCGAGGGCUGCAGCGAGAAGCUGUGGGGCGUGGGGAGAAGAAGAGAGGAAGAAGAGGGAGAAGAGAAGAAGAAGAAGAAGAAGAAGAAGAGAGGAUGAUAGCUGCGGCAAGUAUGCAGCGAGGAGGUGUGUGGGGUUGGGGAGGAAAGGGGAAGAGGAGAAGAAAAGAAGGAGAAGAAGAGGGAAAAGAGAGGGAAGAGGGAGAGGAGCGAGAGGUGGCAGCAGCUAGGGCUGCAGCACCUCUGUUUCCUGCAGGUGGAAACAGAGGAGAGGUGGGGCGUUCGAAGAGGAGAAGAAGAAGAAGAAGGAAGAGAAGAGGAAGAGGAAGCAGGAGAAGAGGUUGUGAUACCUCUGUUUCCUGCAGAGGAAACAGAGGAGAGGGUGUGUGUGACGUCGGGGAGAAGAAGGGGAGGAAGGAGAAGAAGAGAAGAAGAAGAAAGGAAGGAGAGGAAGAAGAGAAGGGAAAGGAGGAGCUGCGGCUGCGGCGGUGGCAGCUGCAGUUGGAAGAGAAGGAGAGGAAGAGAUGGUGAGGAAGAAGAGAAGAAGUAGAAGCGGGUGAAGAGGCGGCACCUCUGUUUCCUGCAGGAGGAAACAGAGGAAAGGAGGUGCUGUUCGUCGGGGAGAAGAAGGGGGCUGCAGCUGCGGCGAUGGCAGCUGCAGCUGGAAGAGAAGAAGAAGAGGAAGAUGAGCAGGGGAGGAGGGAGAGGUUGCGGCCGUGGCUGCGGCCGCGACUGCAGCAGUUGCAGCGGGGAGAGAAGAAGAAGAAAGGAAGGAGAAGGAAGAGGAGAAGGGAAAGAGGUAGCUGCGGCUGCGGUUGUGGCAGCUGCAGCUGUGGCAGGGAAAGAGGAAGAGAAAAAGGAAAGGAAGAAGAAGAGAAAGGGAAGGAGAGGAAGAAGAGAGGAAGAGGAGAAGGGGCUGCGGCUGCGGCGAUGGCAGCUGCAGCUGUGGCUGGGAAAGAAGAGAAGGAAAGGAAGAAGAAGAGAAAGGGAAGGAGAGGAAGAAGAGAGGAAGAGGAGAAGGGGUGGCAGCUGCGGCAGUGGCAGCUGCAGCUGGAAGAGGAGGAGGAAAUAGAGCAGGGGAGGAAGAAGAGGCUGCGAGUGUGGUGGCUGCGGCCGUGGCUGCGACUCCGGCUGCGGCUGCGACGUUGGCUGCGGUAGCUGCGGCAGUGGUGGUGGCUGCAGUAGCUGCAGUAGCUGCUUUUGGGAAAGAGAAAGAGUAGGAACGAGAGAAGGGAAGAAGGAAAUAGUGCAGUGGAAGGGGGCUGCGGUUGUGACCGCAGUUGCGAUUGUGGCAGCGGCGGCGGCUGUGGCAGCUGCGUUUGGGAAAGAAAAAGAAGGAAUGAGAGUAAGAGAGAGCAGGUGACUGUGCCUCGAUGUUCGACACGUGGUGUAGUUGCGAAUAAAGGAAGAAAACGGGAGCACAAAACGAAACAGAGAGAGGACACGGAGGAAAAGUAGAAGGAUUUGGGCUGGCACCUUCUUUGGAUCUUCGGAUCGAAAUCUUUGAAAGGUCAGCUUGUUACUCUUCGAGAUGUUUGAUUUGGGCUGAGGCAGUGGAUAGCUAUUCAGAAUGAUGGGCAAGUCUGGUUGGUUAUUACGAUAUUGUUGUAUAAGUAUGUUUUGUAUGUAAUGAAAUGUUGUCGAUGAACCGAAAUGGAUAUACUGUGUCAAAGUGUUAGGAGAUCUCUCUUAUUUGGAAUUUCUGAAUGUUAAGCCUAAUUUAUAAUGAUAUGAACUUGUGGUGGAUAGUUGGAGUUCUGAUUGUAUAAAUUAUUUAGCUUGUGGAUUUAUAAAUAUUGUUCAUGUUUGUCAAGUUGGCUUGGGUUGCCAUAAAUGUGAAUUAUUGAGUGAUGUGAUAUAUGAUUAUAAACUGCACAGGUUUUAUGGAUGUGAAUAUGAAUAGAAUGUUUUUCAGUGUCCUCAAACGUUAGUUUGGAUCCUGGAUUGGUCUGUGAUGAAAAAUUUUAAAAAUCAUGGAUAUUUUGAGGGGCGUGACAGAGGUGGUAUCAGAGCAUUGUUUGAGGAUUACUGAAAUAUUUGAUAUGUUGACGUGCAAAAUAUAUUGAGGUCUAAUGAACUAUAGUGAUUGGUGGAAAUUUUCUUUGCUGCAUUUUAGGAAUCUGGGAUGAUGAGGACAUUUGGUCCUCCUAUAUCAUUUGUUUCUGAUUAAUUAAGGGGAAUGAAAGGAUUGAUUGGGGAUAUUGAAUCAGAGUGGCGCAGCAGAAGCAUGAUGAACCUAAUUUCAUUGGUGGUAGAAAAAUGGAUGAUGCAAAUGGAGAAGAUAUUUGAUAUACAAAAUUGUUCUGAUACUCGAAAGAUUUCUUUUGCCACGUUAUAUUGGAAGUAAAGACUUAUUAUUGACGGCAACAAUGAAAAGAAUUUCUGAAGAUCAAUGGCAAGAAUGACAAGAACAAGUUUACCAAUAAAAAUAUGAUUGGAAAUGAAUCAGUAAGUAACAACAAGAGAGUCAAGACAUUUGGAUUUGAAAUGGGAAGUCACCACAAAAGACUCAAUCAGGUGUGAAUUGCAAGUUAAAUUAUGAAACAAGUUUAUGUUUGUGCGUGACUAGAGCCUAUUUUGCUUAUGGAAAGUUUGAUCAUAAAAUAAAAGUUUGCCCUUUGAACAAGAAGAAAGAGUCACUGCCUCCUAAAUCAUCAGCCCAUGUCAGAGUGUAUGCUAUCACUGAAUAUGAUUCUAAGACUUCUAAAUUAGUGGUCGAAGGUAUUAUGUAUGUUUAUGAAAGAAUGCAAAUAUUUGUUUGAACAUGGGUUCUAUCUACGAUUUGAUUCGUAACAUAUUGCCUAUCACUUGGGUAUUCAACCUAGACCACUGUAUUAUGUGAUAUAUGUAAGUACAAUCAUUGGAGAUUCUUUGAUAACGAACUUGAAUCUGGUCCUCUUGUCUGAUUCUUAUUGGAGAACUUGAACUUUUGCUGAUUUAAUUCUCUUAGAGAUUUGGAGUUUUGAUAUUAUACUUGGUAUGGAUUGGCUAUCUUCCUAUCAUACCAGUAUGGAUUCGUAUAUAACAAAUGAUCACUUUUUGCAUAUUUGAUCAGCCGAUCUUUUAUUUUGAGAGUAUUGGACAUUAUUUAUCUCCUUGCCUAAUGUAUCCCAGGAUGACUUGCCUGGAUUACCUCUAAAUGUGAUUUUGCUUUUGAUUUGGUCCUUGGGACAAUCCCUAUAUCUAAGCCUCUCUGCAGAAUGAUAUCAUUUGAGUAAGUGGAAUUAGAAAAACAACUACAAGGAUUAUUAAAUGAGGAUUUUAUUUGGCUUAAUAUUUUAUCAUGGGGUGCUCUGGUGUUAGUUAAAAAGAUGGAUGGAACAUGGAGGCUUUGUAUUGAUUAUGGAUAGUUGAAUCAGGUGAUCAUAAAAAACGAGUAUUUUCUGAAGUAACGAUUUGCUUGAUUAAUUACAGGUGCGCAAGUAUUUUUGAAAGAUUGAUUGGAGGUCGGGUUUACCAUCUAUUGAGAAUCAAGAAGGAGAAUAUUUCGGUCACUCUUGGAAAAUUGUGUAAUUGUAUUGAAUUGAUGAAAUUAUUUAAGAGUAGGAGGAAAUAAAGAAAUCAUAAUCCUCAUCUUUUCAUCGAUUGAGCUAUGACCAAUUUAGAGGACUAAAUUUUCUUUUAAGGGGGGGGAGAGUGUAAUAUCCCCCACUUUUAAAAAUGUAUUAAUAAGGAUUUAUAUGUAAAUUGGGGGACCUAUAUGUAAAUAUAGAAAUUACAAGGACUAAACUACUAAGUUGCAAAAAAAAAAAAAAAAAAGGAAAAACCGAAAUUCGGUAUUAUCCCACCGCCUCCCACGCACUCUGUUUCUUUCCAGAAACAGAGAGAGCGGUGGGGCGUGAGGAGAAGAAGGAGAGUGGUUGAAGAAAAGAAGAAGAAGAGGGAAAAGAAGAGAGGAGGAAGAAGAGAGGAAGAAGAGGGAGAAGAGAAGAAGAUGAAGAAGAAGAAGAAGAGGAGGUGGCUGCAGCGAGGGCUGCAGCGAGAAGCUGUGGGGCGUGGGGAGAAGAAGAGAGGAAGAAGAGGGAGAAGAGAAGAAGAAGAAGAAGAAGAAGAAGAGAGGAUGAUAGCUGCGGCAAGUAUGCAGCGAGGAGGUGUGUGGGGUUGGGGAGGAAAGGGGAAGAGGAGAAGAAAAGAAGGAGAAGAAGAGGGAAAAGAGAGGGAAGAGGGAGAGGAGCGAGAGGUGGCAGCAGCUAGGGCUGCAGCACCUCUGUUUCCUGCAGGUGGAAACAGAGGAGAGGUGGGGCGUUCGAAGAGGAGAAGAAGAAGAAGAAGGAAGAGAAGAGGAAGAGGAAGCAGGAGAAGAGGUUGUGAUACCUCUGUUUCCUGCAGAGGAAACAGAGGAGAGGGUGUGUGUGACGUCGGGGAGAAGAAGGGGAGGAAGGAGAAGAAGAGAAGAAGAAGAAAGGAAGGAGAGGAAGAAGAGAAGGGAAAGGAGGAGCUGCGGCUGCGGCGGUGGCAGCUGCAGUUGGAAGAGAAGGAGAGGAAGAGAUGGUGAGGAAGAAGAGAAGAAGUAGAAGCGGGUGAAGAGGCGGCACCUCUGUUUCCUGCAGGAGGAAACAGAGGAAAGGAGGUGCUGUUCGUCGGGGAGAAGAAGGGGGCUGCAGCUGCGGCGAUGGCAGCUGCAGCUGGAAGAGAAGAAGAAGAGGAAGAUGAGCAGGGGAGGAGGGAGAGGUUGCGGCCGUGGCUGCGGCCGCGACUGCAGCAGUUGCAGCGGGGAGAGAAGAAGAAGAAAGGAAGGAGAAGGAAGAGGAGAAGGGAAAGAGGUAGCUGCGGCUGCGGUUGUGGCAGCUGCAGCUGUGGCAGGGAAAGAGGAAGAGAAAAAGGAAAGGAAGAAGAAGAGAAAGGGAAGGAGAGGAAGAAGAGAGGAAGAGGAGAAGGGGCUGCGGCUGCGGCGAUGGCAGCUGCAGCUGUGGCUGGGAAAGAAGAGAAGGAAAGGAAGAAGAAGAGAAAGGGAAGGAGAGGAAGAAGAGAGGAAGAGGAGAAGGGGUGGCAGCUGCGGCAGUGGCAGCUGCAGCUGGAAGAGGAGGAGGAAAUAGAGCAGGGGAGGAAGAAGAGGCUGCGAGUGUGGUGGCUGCGGCCGUGGCUGCGACUCCGGCUGCGGCUGCGACGUUGGCUGCGGUAGCUGCGGCAGUGGUGGUGGCUGCAGUAGCUGCAGUAGCUGCUUUUGGGAAAGAGAAAGAGUAGGAACGAGAGAAGGGAAGAAGGAAAUAGUGCAGUGGAAGGGGGCUGCGGUUGUGACCGUAGUUGCGAUUGUGGCAGCGGCGGCGGCUGUGGCAGCUGCGUUUGGGAAAGAAAAAGAAGGAAUGAGAGUAAGAGAGAGCAGGUGACUGUGCCUCGAUGUUCGACACGUGGUGUAGUUGCGAAGAAAGGAAGAAAACGGGAGCACAAAACGAAACAGAGAGAGGACACGGAGGAAAAGUAGAAGGAUUUGGGCUGGCACCUUCUUUGGAUCUUCGGAUCGAAAUCUUUGAAAGGUCAGCUUGUUACUCUUCGAGAUGUUUGAUUUGGGCUGAGGCAGUGGAUAGCUAUUCAGAAUGAUGGGCAAGUCUGGUUGGUUAUUACGAUAUUGUUGUAUAAGUAUGUUUUGUAUGUAAUGAAAUGUUGUCGAUGAACCGAAAUGGAUAUACUGUGUCAAAGUGUUAGGAGAUCUCUCUUAUUUGGAAUUUCUGAAUGUUAAGCCUAAUUUAUAAUGAUAUGAACUUGUGGUGGAUAGUUGGAGUUCUGAUUGUAUAAAUUAUUUAGCUUGUGGAUUUAUAAAUAUUGUUCAUGUUUGUCAA
Molecule: long non-coding RNA, 9886 nt
Organism: Musa acuminata AAA Group (dessert banana)
Lineage: Eukaryota; Viridiplantae; Streptophyta; Magnoliopsida; Zingiberales; Musaceae
Exons: 4
Source: RefSeq, a predicted model, not a curated record